RNAcentral lists this unclassified non-coding RNA (411 nucleotides) under Aeschynanthus longicaulis. RNAcentral's name for it is "partial external transcribed spacer". The record is from RNAcentral. Lineage: Eukaryota; Viridiplantae; Streptophyta; Magnoliopsida; Lamiales; Gesneriaceae.
UGGCAGGAUCAACCAGGUAGCAUUCCAUGUCGACUUUUGGCAUUGUAUGGACAAAACCAACACAACACCAAUUGUCGUUUGCGCAUAGCGUGGGACACUUUUUAGGGGCAAAUAGAGACAGAUGAUUGCCUCGUACCCAUGGGGUACUCCGUGACCGAGAGAACAAGCAUGACGUCAUUUGAUCCAACAACCCACAACAACAUUGAAGCAACGGUGGUUGGAGCAUGACAUUUGCUUCGAAGUUCCCCUCCUACCACAAACCCGAGGGCUCGCAGUGAAAGGUGAAUAGGGCCUUUAAUCCAACGAAUUCCCACACUUUGGGUUAUAUAACACAGGAGACCAAUCGCGGCCAAGAUUUUCUUUCACAGUCUUGAACCAAUCACUGAAAAGGCAUGCCGGAUACAUUUUCGC